UUUUUUACACAUUUGCUGAUUUUUAGGACUGUAGGUGAAAGUCAGUUUUGUUUUUGUUCUGUUGCCAUGGCAACACAUUUGCAUUUUCUCCUAACGUAUACCAAUUCUAGCAAGUUUUCCUUCACAGUGGGUCGUUUAAAGUCGAGCCCGGUCUGCAUAACGAGAGUGUCCAAAAAUUGCUGCAACUUAAAAACAAUUUGUGGCCUCACAAGUGACUGUGGAGUAAAAGCAUUCCAGUUCCCAACAGAUCCUGUGGAACCAGAACUUUGAGAGCAACGGGACAGGAAGUUGACAACCCCUGCAGAACACCUCAGGCUAGCAGGCGGGCCGGACCGAAGGUCCCAGAGCCGUCUGACCGGCGCCCUUCACCCUUGCUGCCAGUAGGAGCCAAACCCCGAGCUGGAGUCAGAUGUUGGGUCAUCCCUGUAAGGUGACUUUGAGACAGUUCAACCUCCAGGUGGAUCCUGCCCAUCCUGUCAUCACUCCCCGACAUCCCAGCCACCCGGAAUUCCUUCACUGUUUGCAAAGAGAGCUGCGGCUGCAGUUGCAGGCGGUGUGCAAUUACCCUUUCAGUGCCGGCGAGCCCAUCUGACCCCGCUGACGGAGCACCAGGAAAGCUCUUUCAAACAACGGAGGAUCAGAGAGAAUUAUGGGAACUCCAGACUGGGUGGCAGCGGUGGCGGUGUAACGGCUCCGUCAGCGUCUGGGAUCACACCUUGGCACUGUGGAUUUUCUGGAGCAUGAAUCGGGCCGUGGCAGAUGCUGCACGUCUGGUGGCUCCUGCUGGGCCUGCAGCCUGUCAUGCACUUUCACAAAACUGUGCAUGACAUAGGGAACUUUCUUUAUUCCCUUCAAGACAGAUCAAUGAGGCCAUAAGCCAAUAAAAGCAUGAAUACAA
Non-coding RNA from Oryzias latipes (Japanese medaka), 898 nucleotides. NCBI's taxonomy places the organism in Eukaryota, Metazoa, Chordata, Actinopteri, Beloniformes, Adrianichthyidae. The record is from RefSeq and is a predicted model, not a curated record.